RNAcentral lists this long non-coding RNA (367 nucleotides) under Lathyrus oleraceus (garden pea). RNAcentral's name for it is "Pisum sativum (pea) long non-coding RNA (PSAT_LNC028733)". Lineage: Eukaryota; Viridiplantae; Streptophyta; Magnoliopsida; Fabales; Fabaceae. The record is from RNAcentral.
AUCAAAUCAAAUAUAAAAGAACAUAAGGGUGAAACAAAGAAUAUGAGGGUGAACUAGAAAAUGAAAGAUUUAUGGGCCUAAUGCCCAUUACAAAAAUCUACACCUUACUAUAUAAAAAAAAAAUAUCAAACCAAAUAUGAAAAUAAAAAGAAAAAUAAAAAAUAAAAAUAAUAAAAAAAAGCUGGUAGCACCCCUAUCUUAUAUUGCUCUGACCAAUUUUUUUUUUGAAAAACUUUAAUAAAACACAAAUCAUAUUGGCACACGUGGCAUUGCAAAAUAAUAAUGAAAAAAACUAAACAUGGUACUGACAUAUACAACAAAAAUGAAAUAAAACAAAGAGAAAAUAAAAGCACAAAAUAUAACAUCA